UCUUUAAGGUUAACAUUAGCAGCUAAUAGCUUGAAUAAUCAAUUUGGCUGAAAACAAAACAUUACCAAAUUUAGUAAAGGUGAUUGAAACUUAAUAUUUCUGCAUGGGUUUAGUACUGUGAAGGAAAACAUAAAACUGGAAACUAGAAAUAAUUAAAAUUUGUACCUUUUGUAUCAUGGUUUAACUAGAUUAAUACCUGAAUAGGGGUUCUCGAAACCCAAUGAGCUAUCUUUAUUCCGUUUUAUAGAUCAGAGUAUGAGUUAGUUGUGGCAAAAACUUCUCAAGAAAUAAAGAUAGAUAUGAAAUUUUAUCCGCAUUGGGUGAUAGCUAGUUCUUUUCUAAAGGCAUAUUAGUGCCCUAAAUCAUAGGGUUUGCAAUAUAAACGGGAUUUAUAGUUGUUUAUAUUGAUUUAGUUAGAUUUUUGAGGAUAAGCUCGAAAAUGACCUAUAAUUGCAUUCAAUUUUUUUCAAAAUAUAAGCUUAGUAAUGGCUAUUGAUAUCGGAUUUUGUUAUAAUUCAUUCUUUUAGAAAUAAUAUAAUUUAUCUGCUUAAUAAUUACAGAAAAGAAGCUUUAAUAAUUUCCAAACAAAAUGUUUUUAUGUUAAAAUGAGUAUUAAAUGAGUUAUUCAAUAAGCUAGCGAAUUAAAGUUUAGAUCUAUGUAAGCGAGUUUGAAAAUAAAAUCGUAAAAAGGAACUCGGCAAAGCCGUAUUCUGCCUGUUUAUCAAAAACAUGGCUUCGUGUAAUCAUCAAAAUGCGAAGUCGGACCUGCCCAGUGAAGUUUAAACGGCCGCGGUACUCUGACCGUGCAAAGGUAGCAUAAUCAUUUGCCUUAUAAUUGAAGGCUGGAAUGAAUGGUUUGACAAGAAUACACCUGUCUCUUUUAGAUUAUUUAGAAUUUUAUCUUUGGGCGAAAAAGCCCAGAUAUUAUUAAAAGACAAGAAGACCCUAUCGAGCUUCAGAAAAAUUAAUGGAGUAGUUAUGUUUAAUAUUAACUAAAAAAAAAGCUAUUAAAUACUUUGGUUGGGGCAACCGAGGAGUAGACAAAGCCUCCCUUGAAUAAGAAGUCUUACUUGAGAGGAUCCAAGAAUUUUGAUCAAAGGAAUUAGUUACCGUAGGGAUAACAGCAUUAUCUUUUUUGAGAGCCCAUAUCGAAAAAAAGGUUUGUGACCUCGAUGUUGGACCAGAAUAUCCUAAAGAUGCAGAAGUCUUUGAGGGUUGGUCUGUUCGACCAUUAAAAUUCUACGUGAUCUGAGUUCAGACCGGCGUGAGCCAGGUCAGUUUCUAUCUUUAUAUUUUUUGGUUACGUUUAGUACGAAAGGACCAAUGUAACAUAUUAGAUAUUUUACUUAGAUUAAGUAUAAUUUAGCUUUAAA
This 1373-nucleotide ribosomal RNA is filed under the name Conus ebraeus. RNAcentral's name for it is "16S ribosomal RNA". It matches the Rfam family "Bacterial large subunit ribosomal RNA", at positions 418 to 2755 of the family's 2925-position model. The record is from RNAcentral. Lineage: Eukaryota; Metazoa; Mollusca; Gastropoda; Neogastropoda; Conidae.